CGAGCGUUAAUCGGAAUUACUGGGCGUAAAGCGCAUGCAGGUGGUUUGUUAAGUCAGAUGUGAAAGCCCCGGGGCUCAACCUCGGAAUUGCAUUUGAAACUGGCAGACUAGAGUACUGUAGAGGGGGUAGAAUUUCAGGUGUAGCGGUGAAAUGCGUAGAGAUCUGAAGGAAUACCGGUGGCGAAGGCGGCCCCCUGGACAGAUACUGACACUCAGAUGCGAAAGCGUGGGGAGCAAACAGGAUUAGAUACCCCUGGUAG
This 260-nucleotide ribosomal RNA is filed under the name uncultured bacterium. RNAcentral describes it as "partial 16S ribosomal RNA". It matches the Rfam family "Bacterial small subunit ribosomal RNA", at positions 535 to 793 of the family's 1533-position model. The record is from RNAcentral.